This 221-nucleotide ribosomal RNA is filed under the name Ctenophora environmental sample. Its description in RNAcentral is "partial Bacterial large subunit ribosomal RNA". It matches the Rfam family "Bacterial large subunit ribosomal RNA", at positions 1537 to 1753 of the family's 2925-position model. The record is from RNAcentral. Lineage: Eukaryota; Metazoa; Ctenophora.
CAAAUCCGGGGUACUGUAUGCUGAGAACUGAUAGCAAGCUGUACUUGUACAGUGAAGUGGCUGAUACCAUGCUUCCAGGAAAAGUCUCUGAGCUUCAGUUACAUAGGAAUCGUACCCGAAACCGACACAGGUGGUCAGGUCGAGUAGACCAAAGCGCUUGAGAGAACUCUGCUGAAGGAACUAGGCAAAAUGGUACCGUAACUUCGGGAGAAGGUACGCUG